UUUCAGCAUCAUUACUUCAGUCUUCAGUGUCACAUGAUCCUUCAGAAAUCCUUCUAAUAUGAUGAUUUAUUAUAAGUGUUGGAAAUAGUUGUGCAGCUUAGUAUAUGUGUUUUAUGUAUUUAUUUAUUUUCUUUUGAAACCAGUGAACAUUUUUCAGGAUUCUUUGAUAAAAGUUAAAAACAACAGCACUUAUUUAAAAUAGAAAUCUUAUGCAACAAUAACAAUAAUGCCGUGCUUGGUGUCUAUCUAAUCUUCAGGUGAGAGUUGAAUGGCGCUUAGUGUCUCGCGAGAUUUAAAUUGGGUUUCCUCUGUUUCAAGCAAGGCAUUCGAUUGGCUGGUAGGUGCUGAUGUCGCGCUGCAAGAACAACAUGGCACGGGUUCAAAGCCUUAUUCAACUGAGAAAAUUGAUCAGCGUCAUGGUACAAGCGAAGUCUGAAUGGUUUGUUUCCCUGUUUCUUCUGCCUUGGCUGCACCAGCUGUGGAAACCAGGCCUGGUGAGGACCCUCUCCUCCAUCCUCAACUAUUGAACCUCUUAUAUCACUCGGAUGAGGUGUUCUGGAUCCAGACUGGAGCUUGUGUAAAUCCUAGUUACCACGGGAUGAAGAUCCCAGCCGAAACAGAGAAACAAAUAGAGACAUCAUAAGCAUAGCUGUACUUUAGGACAGACCAGCCUGUGAUCUCCUAAGACACCCAGAUUCACCCCUGGUCACGAUCUGUCCCACACCUGUGUCUCCUCACAGUCCAUCGCCAGUGUCUGCACCCUGCACACUGCCAAUAUUAUGGAUUUCUGUUCUGGAGAGAGAUGCCAUUCACAACAUAAUCUCUACACAAUAUCAAACUCAAAUAAUUUAGUCUUGCCUAACAGUUUCCCUGAUUUGUUACUGUUCACAAUGUAGCAUGGUCUUGCCUACCUUUGUCCAUUCAGUUAUUAAAAUGUUUUUAAUAUUUGUAUUGAAUAUAUCUCAAGGUUAUUAUUUAAAAGCAACUUCACUUGAUCUUUCCCUAGAAGAGAUAAUAGGUGUGUUUGACUUGAAGCAGUGCUGUGCAAACCGAUCGAAGUAUGACAUCACGGUACCAUGAGAGCAAUAAGACGGCUUAAUAUAUAGGUCCUUCUCAAAAAAUUAGCAUAUUGUGAUAAAAGUUCAUUAUUUCCAUAAUGUAAUGAUAAAAAUUAAACUUUCAUAUAUUUUAGAUUCAUUGCACACCAACUGAAAUAUUUCAGGUCUUUUAUUGUUUUAAUACUGAUGAUUUUAGCAUACAGCUCAUGAAAACCCCAAAUUCCUAUCUCAAAAAAUUAGCAUAUUUCAUCCGG
Molecule: long non-coding RNA, 1312 nt
Organism: Carassius gibelio (silver crucian carp)
Lineage: Eukaryota; Metazoa; Chordata; Actinopteri; Cypriniformes; Cyprinidae
Exons: 4
Source: RefSeq, a predicted model, not a curated record